AUUUGAUCUUACUAUGCCUUGAUCACUGCAGACUUUAAUGGCUGUUGGCACCUGAGUGUGAGAGAAAAACAUUGCAUGCUCGGUGGACUAUUUCAGCUGGCUACAGAGUUCCUGGGCAAGAGUGGCCAAAACUGUGCCAUCCACUAUGCUACAACUGGCACAAUUCGCAGAGGCUGCUGGGUUAGCACUGGGAGGACUGAGCCUCGGGGCUGGCGGUCAGUUGACCGGAAGCCAAACCAAAAGACUUGCGGAAUUGUUCGACUAAUACACGCUAGACGCUGACUCUGAGCGGUAUACCGGGAAGGCAGCAUUUUUUCCAUCCGCCUGCAGAACUACAGUUCCC
This is a long non-coding RNA of Elgaria multicarinata webbii, 343 nucleotides long. RefSeq lists it as uncharacterized. The transcript has 3 exons. The record is from RefSeq and is a predicted model, not a curated record. NCBI's taxonomy places the organism in Eukaryota, Metazoa, Chordata, Lepidosauria, Squamata, Anguidae.